This 260-nucleotide ribosomal RNA is filed under the name uncultured bacterium. RNAcentral's name for it is "partial 16S ribosomal RNA". It matches the Rfam family "Bacterial small subunit ribosomal RNA", at positions 1059 to 1320 of the family's 1533-position model. The record is from RNAcentral.
CUCGUGUCGUGAGAUGUUGGGUUAAGUCCCGCAACGAGCGCAACCCCUAUCCUUUGUUGCCAGCACGCAAUGGUGGGAACUCAAAGGAGACUGCGCGGACAACGCGGAGGAAGGCGGGGAUGACGUCAAGUCAUCAUGCCCCUUAUGUCCUGGGCUACACACGUACUACAAUGGGAUGGACAGAGAGCAGCGAAGCCGCGAGGCCAAGCGAACCCCAUAAACCAUCUCCCAGUUCGGAUUGCAGGCUGAACCCGCCUGCA